CCUACGGGCGGCAGCAGUGAGGAAUAUUGGUCAAUGGACGAGAGUCUGAACCAGCCAAGUAGCGUGAAGGAUGACUGCCCUAUGGGUUGUAAACUUCUUUUAUAUGGGAAUAAAAUGUUCCACGUGUGGGAUUUUGUAUGUACCAUAUGAAUAAGGAUCGGCUAACUCCGUGCCAGCAGCCGCGGUAAUACGGAGGAUCCGAGCGUUAUCCGGAUUUAUUGGGUUUAAAGGGAGCGUAGGUGGAUUGUUAAGUCAGUUGUGAAAGUUUGCGGCUCAACCGUAAAAUUGCAGUUGAAACUGGCAGUCUUGAGUACAGUAGAGGUGGGCGGAAUUCGUGGUGUAGCGGUGAAAUGCUUAGAUAUCACGAAGAACUCCGAUUGCGAAGGCAGUUCACUGGUCUGCAACUGACACUGAGGCUCGAAAGUGUGGGUAUCAAACAGGAUUAGAUACCCUAGUAGUC
This 460-nucleotide ribosomal RNA is filed under the name uncultured bacterium. RNAcentral's name for it is "partial 16S ribosomal RNA". It matches the Rfam family "Bacterial small subunit ribosomal RNA", at positions 338 to 795 of the family's 1533-position model. The record is from RNAcentral.